This 856-nucleotide ribosomal RNA is filed under the name uncultured Flavobacteriales bacterium. RNAcentral's name for it is "bacterial SSU rRNA". It matches the Rfam family "Bacterial small subunit ribosomal RNA", at positions 58 to 904 of the family's 1533-position model. The record is from RNAcentral. Lineage: Bacteria; Pseudomonadati; Bacteroidota; Flavobacteriia; Flavobacteriales.
CAAGUCGUGGGGCAGCAUGUCCCGUAGCAAUACGGGAUGAUGGCGACCGGCAAACGGGUGCGGAACACGUACACAACCUUCCUUUUAGUGGGGAAUAGCCCGGGGAAACCCGGAUUAAUACCCCGUAAUAUAAUAGAGUGGCAUCACUUUAUUAUUAUAGCAGCAAUGCGCUUAAAGAUGGGUGUGCGACUGAUUAGGCAGUUGGCGGGGUAACGGCCCACCAAACCUACGAUCAGUAACUGGUGUGAGAGCACGACCAGUCACACGGGCACUGAGACACGGGCCCGACUCCCACGGGAGGCAGCAGUAAGGAAUAUUGGUCAAUGGACGCAAGUCUGAACCAGCCAUGCCGCGUGGAGGAUGAAGGUCCUCUGGAUUGUAAACUUCUUUUAUCUGGGAAGAAAUCCACGAAUUCUUUUGUGGUUGACGGUACCAGAUGAAUAAGCACCGGCUAACUCCGUGCCAGCAGCCGCGGUAAUACGGAGGGUGCAAGCGUUAUCCGGAUUCACUGGGUUUAAAGGGUGCGUAGGUGGGCAGGUAAGUCAGUGGUGAAAUCUCCGGGCUUAACUCGGAAACUGCCAUUGAUACUAUCUGUCUUGAAUACCGUGGAGGUCAGCGGAAUAUGUCAUGUAGCGGUGAAAUGCUUAGAUAUGACAUAGAACACCAAUUGCGAAGGCAGCUGGCUACACGAAUAUUGACACUGAUGCACGAAAGCGUGGGGAUCAAACAGGAUUAGAUACCCUGGUAGUCCACGCCCUAAACGAUGGAUACUCGACAUACGCGAUAUACUGUGUGUGUCUGAGCGAAAGCAUUAAGUAUCCCACCUGGGAAGUACGAUCGCAAGAUUGAAACUCAA